UUAUCUUUGAAGCUGAAAUGGUUAAGGUCUCUAUAACCAACAUCGUCUCCGCUUAAAUAUCUGCACUUCUUUGUCUACGAUCAAUCAACCUUAUGAAUAAAAAGAUGUUUAAUUUGAUGAGUUUGUAAUAAGAAAACGUUAAUGUUUGUGAAUUGUGAAGUUAUUAUUUCUGUUCUUCUGAGUUUUUUUAUUUCAAUGAAAAUAAAACUCUUACCGGUUUAAAUUGUUUGAAAUAUGUUGGGGAGUAUGGAGUGUUAGUUAUAUGAAUAAAUUCGACUUAUUUGGAGUCAGAAAGAAACUAAUAAUUUAAUUUACAUAAUUUCAUUUUUGUAACCGAAUUCAAACAGAAGCCAAAAGAAGAUAAGAAUUGAACAAAAAUUUAAAAGAUACUAAAUAUGUGAAAAUCGAAAUCGUAUGAUGCUGACUAGUGAUGAAGAUGGCCAAGAUCGGUCAUGUUGAAUGCGGAAUGGCCAAAAAAACACACAAUUUGCGACUCCCAUAUAAGUUGCAAAACGGUUUAUUUAGGACUACUUGAAGACUACUAAUACAAUGGUUUCAAAAUAGUCGCUAAUGUACGACCAUUUUCUGACCCCUAAUUUUUUUCAUAUAGAAGCGACUAAUUUGGGAUAGAAAAUUGAUGUCGUAUAUUUACAACUGAAAAGCAACGAAGUUUACUUAGUGACAUUUUUAUGACGAUAUUUGCUAAUCCUAAAUUUGAGACGAAUUUGGGACUAAUUCAAGAGUCCGAGUUACGUGACCCGUGAUGUAGCAUUUCUAUCAAUUAAUUAUCGAACCACAAUUUGCAAUUAAUCAACUCACCAAGAAUACACAUAAUUGCUUAAUCUAAGCUAAUAAGGUGACUUUGAGUGUUCCUAAUCUUAGUAACAAUGCAUUAUCAAGCAAAAAAUGCAAAACAAGAUAAAAGAAAGCAAGAAACAAAAGACUAACAAGUUUCGAAAGUAAACAAAGCGGGAAAUUAACAAAUUACUUAGUUAUCACUAAAGACGAAUUCUCGGGUUAAGGUAAUCGAUUAGAAAUGAUAAAUAGAUGGAUUCUAGAGCAACAAACAACUUCUAACAAGCAAUGAUCCUUAGGCCAUAGAACACUAAACAAGACUAAUACAUUUCCAUGAUAUUAAUCCUUUUACUAAUCAAUCAAUCAUCAACAAUUUCCAAAGGCAAUCAAAUGAUCAAUAAGCAUAAAUAACAAGUCUAUCUAGCCACUAAUAACCCUAAUCAACAAUUUCCAAAGGUAAGGUAUGAAAAGCACUUAAAGAUUUUGGUUCGGGAAUUUCAUCGAACACCUUCCGGGCAUGAAAUUCCUAGUGUCUAAAUCAACAUGAUCAAAGUUGAUCUAGCCUUAAAAGCAAUCAAUAAGUAAGAAUCUUAAGUAAUCUAGCCCUAAAAUCCAUAACCCAACAUCUAAACCAUCCUAAUCUACCCUAACCAAAGAACUCUAGGAGACUACUCACUCAUGAUCAUGAUCAUACAAAGGAAUUGGUUUGAUCUUUGUAAAGCCAUAAUCAUUAGAGAAUAGAUGAGAAAUUUAAAAGAAAUACUUGAUAUAGAAACUUAAGAACUCAACAUUCAUACAAAAACCUAAGAUAAAGAACCUUCAAGAGAAGUUUUGAUCCCUAAACAAAAGCUCUUUUUUCUCUAAAACUAGGUUAAGAGUAUUUCUAGUAACAGGAAAUAAACCGGAUCAACCUAGAACAAACCGGGUUUUGACCCGGUUAAGGAAGGCAAUCGACCAAGCAAUAGAUCACUUGGUAGAUUCAAUAUCGUCCACAACAUUAAUCCUUGACCAGUAGACCACGCAAUCGACCACUUUGGUAGAUUCAUAUUCCUCCGUAGCUCUGGUCCGGACCAAUCGACCACCCAAUCGACCAGUUUGGUAGAUUCGUAUUCCUCCGUAGCUCUGGUCCUGACCAAUCGACCACGCAAUCGACCAGUUUGGUAGAUUGUCCUACUAGCUUCUCCUCUUUGGCCACUUUGCAUUCUUGUAGCUCAUUUGUUUGCUCCAUUUGCUCCAUUUUACUUCCAAAACUUUAAACUCCACUCAUGUACCUAAGAAAACCAAAUGCAAAUGCAAAUGCAAUACUAUAUGCCAAAAUAUGAAUGCAAAGCAACAAAAACUAAGAGAAAAAGAGGUUUUAAAACACCCAAAAACACUAGAUAUCAACUCCCCCAAACUUAUUUCUUGCUAGUCCUCAAGCAAGAACUAAGAGAUAGAAAAGAAAGAGGUUUGAAGGUGGGGAUUCAUAGCCACAAAAUAUCAAACGAAGGAUUCAACUCAAAGUCCUUAAAGAUAGUUCAAAUUUGCUUGAAUCAAUCAUCAUACUCUUUCGUACUUCUCCAUACUCUUCUUAGUGCAUAGCUCAAUUUCAAAUCUCCAACUAUUAGCAAAGACUCACAAUCAAGUUGAAACAUCUCUUUAACAUUCAUUUAAGUGUUUGGCGCGGUCUCGCAAAUGGAAGAUAAAUCAUUCUCAAUCGGUCUUGGUGAAGGCUUUUGGAGGUGGUUUCAAAAGAUUUACAUUUUGGUGGGUUUCUCUAAAAAAAAUAGUAAUGCUAGACAAUCAUGAAAUCCAUCUAAGACCAAGAACAAUUUAUGCAUACAAAGUCUAGCUCUUGUUGUUCUACCCGUCUUAGAUGUAAACUCCUAUUUCUACCCUUCUUGCAAACUCUUUUCUUCUUCUUUUCAACCCCAAUCAAUAGACACUUUGGUCUUUUUGAACCACAAUCCUCAAGAUCAAUCCUUUCUUGCUAGUCACCUAGGGAAGACUUCUUCUUUUGACACUUUGUUCUUUUCUAUUUCUUUUCUAAGUUUAUCUUUGUUCCCAAAUACUUAUAGCUUUGCAAGUUUCUUUUCUUUGGGGAACUAGCUUGAUAUUAAACUUUCUCUUUACACUUAGAGAUUUAGAGCUUUCUUAUUUAUAACUUAUUCCCUAGAGACUCCUAUAAAACCAUUGAUCACACAUUUCUUUUCAUUCAUUCUUUUUUCUUUUCUUUUUUCCAAACCCAAUCCCAAGUAUUCAAUCUAACCACUUAAAUCUUUCAUUCCCAACCUAGUAGCUAGUCCAAAGAUGUUCCAAAAGCUAGCUAAAAACAAGAGCUAAAACCUUGUCGUUCUCAAUACUUUGAAGAUUUCAAAAUCUAUAGCAUUUUCAUACAAGAGGCCUCACUCACAAAUAGUACAUAGGCUUGAAAGAAAGGUUUUAAGGUUAAGGGUAGGGAAAACCAUUUUAAAGGUGAGAAUGGCCAUUCGGGUUAACAAAAGAUUGGCUAAACGAAUAAGAUAACCCGAAUGAGUCUGUUAGACUACCAUGAGAAUACAUUUAGGAUCCAUAAGCGAGAAAUCAAUAUCAAAUUAAGUCCAAAUUCAUAGAGAUAUUUCAAAAGUCAUGUAAGCUUCACACAAGUAGAAAUUGCUUUCGAGAAACGCAAAAGUCUAAGCAUGGGUUUUCCAUUUUUUCCAAGAUGAUCAAGCAACGAUUAACUGUGAUCAAGGGCUUUAAGCUCAAUCCUAAGCUUGAAUUUCUACAAGGUAAUUAAAUCAUUAUCCCCUAUGCAAAUGCAAAUGUACACUAGAUGCUACUAGACUCAAUCCUAAAAGAGAAAAUUAAUAUGCAAACCUACAUGAUUUUUUUUGGAUUUUUCAAAAUUUUCAGAUUUUUUUUUUAUUUUUCUCAAAACAUAGUUAUUGACAAUGCAAGACUCAAAGAAAGAAAAUCAAAACAUAACACAACAUUAGAUGGUUAGUCUCUCCCCCAAACUUAUUUCACACCGUCUCGGUGUAAAGAUAAUUCCGGAAAAAAGACUAACGAAAAACAAAGAGAAAAUGAAAGAAAAUAGUAUAUACAAAGGAUAGAUAGGACCAUACCUUGGCCCUAGUUGUGAACCUUAGGGAGUGAAGUGAUAGGAGGAGUUGUGAAACUCCUUGUAGAGCCCUUGAAUGCAAGUGUGAGGACCUCUUUCAUCAAUUCUUCAACACUUUUUGAACCUUUUUCUUUGAACUCCGGUGUGAGAAUCGCUUUAACCGAUGAAAAAGGGUUGGAUCGACCCUUGCACUUGACUCUAUACUCUAAAAUUCCAUCAUUAUACCUCAAAAGUGUUAGAGUCAUAGAAGAGGUAGGAUUUGGUGAAUUGUCAAGGGUGGGAGGGUGGGUUCUUUUCAUCAUCCUCUUGUUCUUCUCAAGAACCAUCUUAGCUUUACCCAACUCCUUCUUUUUAGUACUUUCUUCUUGCGCAUCAAACAAAAAGUGUAGACAUUCACCAUCCAAGAUUUUCUCAUCAACCGUGAAAUCCUCUCUAUUCUUCGCAUUCACAACUUUGAUCUCAAGUUGAUCCUUCAAACUUUUAGGCUCUUUCUUUGUUUUCACUUCUUCAUUAGUGAUUGUUCCACAAAACUUUGUAGAGAAAGGCUUGAUUGGAUAUGAGACAUUACCAUUCACGUGGAGAAGAGUAACUCUCUUGUUUGGGAAGUCGAUGUUGGCUCCCACGGUGUUGAGAAAUGGAGUUCCUAGAAUGAGAGGAACCUUGUGGGUGUCUUUCAUCUCCACUAUCAUGAAAUCCGUUGGGACUAUGCAAUCACCAACUUUGAGUGGAUAGUCUUCAAUCAAACCAAGAGGAGUUGUUGAAGAAGCAUCUCCAAACAUGAUGGAGGAGGUGUGGUGGUUCAUAUCUUUAACCCCUAGACUCUUUACCAUCUCAAGUGACAUCACAUUCACGCUUGCACCCGAAUCACAUAAGGCAUCAUCAAGUUGUAAAUCACCAAGUGAGCAAGGUAUGGUGAAUUUACCCGGAUCUUCAAGCUUGAUAAUAGAUUUUGGUUCCGUUUGUGGUGUGAUUGGUGAAUCAAAGGCUCUCAUGAUCUCUUCCACUUUCUCUCGAUUUUCUAGAAUGGCUUGAAUGAACUUAAAGUGAAGAGGAAUUUGAGACAAGUUUUCCACACAAGGCAAAGGCGCUCCAACUCUACUCAUGUUGGCUUUAAAACUUGAGAAAACUUUCUUUUUAGCUUUGGUAAGAACUCGCCCGGGAAACGGAAGUAGAGGCUCAUAAGGAAGAGGCUCAACUCUUGAUGCCUCUUUCUUUUCAACACUCUUGGUUAUCAUAUCAUUCCCAUUCGUACUCUUCUUGGCCUUCUCAUCACUAGCAACCAUUAAGUUCUCAACAUUAGAACCAUAUAGAAGUUUAGAGAUCUCUUCUAUUGCCUUUUCAUUCUCAUCAAUUCUACCAUCCUCUCUUGAUUGUGUAUAGCUCAUAUUUUCAACCAUAUCAAAAUCGUUUAUGAAGAUAGCAUUGCAAAACUCCUUAUGAUUAGUUUCAGAUUUACCCUUUAAAGUUCCCAUUGGAUGCUUGGAAGUGGAUGAGGAUGGGCUAUAAACAUGGACAUUCAAACGCUCUAUUUUGGCAUUGAGCUCACCAUAAAUGUCAUCAACCUUGGUGUGCAUUCCUUUCAUUUGUGUGGCAAGAUCGAUUGCUCCUCUUCCUUGCCCUUCUAGAAUUUGUCUAAGAAGAGCGUUUGUAUCCGCUUGAGGUGGAGGAUUCGAUGAACUCCCUUGGUGUUGAUUGUGGUGGUAGGCUUGAGGUUUUGGUUGGAAGUUCCUUUGGGGUUGAGGUUGAUAGUUGGGUUGUUGUGUGAAACCGGGAGGCUUUAAGGGUGGGUAGCUUUGAUCUUGUGGGUUCUCCACAUUAUUGCUCCUAUAUGAAAGGUUGGGAUGAUUCCUAUAGUUGAGGUUGAAUUUGUUGUAGCCUUGUCCAAUAGCAUAGUUGACCUCCUCUUGUCGCUCUACACAACCUUCCAUGUGUUCUUGAUACCCUUGGUAGACAUCACUCUCGGAUACAAAAUGGAUCGGUUUUUGAUUAGCAAGAAUCAUCUUAUCUAUCUUUUCAUUCAAAGCUUUGAUCUCUUUGCGGUGUAGAUUACUCAUCUCAUUACUUUCUCUUGGAGUGCGGUCAUAAUCUUCACCAUAAUUACCAUCACUUUGAGCUAGAUUCUCUACCAAAGACAAACCAUCAUCAAUAUCUUGGCCCAAGAAGUUUGCAUUGCUUGCCGUGUCCAACAACAUGCGAAAUUUAGGGAGAACUCCUCUAUACAAGGUACUUAGUAUAGACUCUUUAGAGAAACCAUGAUGAGGACAUUGCAUUUUGUAUCCUUUGAACCUUUCCCAAGCUUCACAAAAACUUUUAUUACUCCUUUGAGUGAAGCUAGAUAUCUCAUUUCUCAACCUUGCCGUUCUUGUUGUGGAGAAAAACUUUAAGAGGAAUGCUCUUUUGCAUUGGUCCAAGAGGUGAUGGAGCCUUGAGGUAGAUUCUUCUCCCAAAUACGAGCUCGGUCUCCAAGAGAAAAUGGGAAGAGUCUAAGUUUGAAUGCAUCUUCCGAGAUCCCAUUGAUUUUCACCGUGCUACACAACAUAUCAAAUUGGUCUAGAUGAUCCAAAGGGUCCUCCAUUGAUAAACAAUGAAACUUAGAGCUUUGAACCAUGUUGAUGAGGCUUGAUUUAAUCUCAAAGUUGUUGUUCUCAACCGGAGGAGCUUGAAUACCGUUUCUAUUUCCGCGGAUGUUUGGCUCAUCAAAGGCUCCAAUUGGUUGAUGAGCUCUUGGUUGAUGUUGUGGCAUAUGACCACCCCCAUUAGCUUGGCCAUUUCCAUUAUGGCCCCCAACUUCGGGUUCAUUCAUGACGCCUAACCGAGCAAGGUGUUCAAGUCGUUCUCUUUUUCUUCUUGCUCUAGCGUUUUCUCUUUCAAACCGGCGAAUGUCGUUAAUCUCUUCUACUAAGUUUGCUCGGCCGUAACUUCGUAGGUUCAUACACCUUUAAGACAAGAGCAAAGAUCAAGUAUAAAGGAUUAGUAACUAAAGUAAAAGGCUUAGUCUCAAGCAAAUAUGAAAUCCUAAUGGCUAAUAACUAUUGCAAACCGGCAACGGCGCCAAAUUGAUGUAGCAUUUCUAUCAAUUAAUUAUCGAACCACAAUUUGCAAUUAAUCAACUCACCAAGAAUACACACAAUUGCUUAAUCUAAGCUAAUAAGGUGACUUUGAGUGUUCCUAAUCUUAGUAACAAUGCAUUAUCAAGCAAACAAUGCAAAACAAGAUAAAAGAAAGCAAGAAACAAAAGACUAACAAGUUUCGAAAGUAAACAAAGCGGGAAAUUAACAAAUUACUUAGUGAUAACUAAAGACGAAUUCUCAGGUUAAGGUAAUCGAUUAGAAAUGAUAAAGAGAUGGAUUAUGGAGCAACAAACAACUUCUAACAAGCAAUGAUCCUUAGGCCAUGGAACACUAAACAAGACUAAUACAUUUCCAUGAUAUUAAUCCUUUUACUAAUCAAUCAAUCAUCAACAAUUUCCAAAGGCAAUCAAAUGAUCAAUAAGCAUAAAUAACAAGUCUAUCUAGCCACUAAUCACCCUAAUCAACAAUUUCCAAAGGUAAAGUAUGAAAAGCACUUAAAGAUUUUGGUUCGGGAAUUUCAUCGAACAUCUUCCGGGCAUCAAAUCAACAUGAUCAAGGUUGAUCUAGCCUUAAAAGCAACCAAUAAGUAAGAAUCUUAAGUAAUCUAGCCCUAAAAUCCAUAACCCAACAUCUAAACCAUCCUAAUCUACCCUAACCAAAGAACUCUAGGAGACUACUCACUCAUGAUCAUGAUCAUACAAAGGAAUUGGUUUGAUCUUUGUAAAGCCAUAAUCAUUAGAGAAUAGAUGAGAAAUUUAAAAGAAAUACUUGAUAUAGAAACUUAAGAACUCAACAUUCAUACAAAAACCUAAGAUAAAGAACCUUCAAGAGAAGUUUUGAUCCCUAAACAAAAGCUCUUUUUCUCUAAAACUAGGUUAAGAGUAUUUCUAGUAAUGAGAAAAUAAACCGGAUCAACCCGGAACAAACCGGGUUUUGACCCUGUUAAGGAAGGCAAUCGACCAAGCAAUAGAUCACUUGGUAGAUUCAAUAUCGUCCGCAACAUUAAUCCUUGACCAGUAGACCACGCAAUCGACCACUUUGGUAGAUUCAUAUUCUUCCGUAGCUCUGGUCCGGACCAAUCGACCACCCAAUCGACCAGUUUGGUAGAUUCGUAUUCCUCCGUAGCUCUGCUCCUGACCAAUCGACCAGUUUGGUAGAUUGUCCUACUAGCUUCUCCUCUUUGGCCACUUUGCAUUCUUGUAGCUCAUUUGUUUGCUCCAUUUGCUCCAUUUUACUUCCAAAACUUUAAACUCCACUCAUGUACCUAAGAAAACCAAAUGCAAAUGCAAUACUAUAUGCCAAAAUAUGAAUGCAAAGCAACAAAAACUAAGAGAAAAAGAGGUUUUAAAACACCCAAAAACACUAGAUAUCAACCCGUUACAGACUAGGAUGAUAGUGGAAAAAGUGUUUUGUGUGUUGAAAAAAUAAUAUUGGUCCCCAUAUAGUCGUACAUAAUGUUUUUUUUUAGUGGGAGUAGUCUCUUCAAUUGAGUUUUAGAGUUCUAAAUUGGUUUGAUGAUUUGAUUAUUAUUAAAAAUUAACUAUUUUUAGGAAUUCACGAACUGAAUUGAGCAAUAUAUUUUUAGCCAAUGAAAUUUAAUAUUAGAACACAUAUUGUUAGUUUAACAAAUUUGUUUGAUAAUGCGAAUUUGACUAAUAUUACAAAUGAAAGUUUAGUAAUUAAGUAGUCAAUUUUAAUGACUAAUUUCUUGAAAGAGGAGUAAUCUAAUAUUGUGUUCAUGUUCGAAAGCGGUGUUUGGUUGUUGAAUUUUUUAUUUCAUAGUUUCGUUAAUCAUCAAUCUUUGAAUUAUUUUGUGGUUUAAUGUGUUUUAUCAUAUAAUUUUAAUCGUUUAGUUUCUUUCAUAAUUUUAAUUUUAAGCAUAAAAACUAACAAACAUUUAAUUUGUCCGUUUAGGUAAAAACGACUCUCGCAAAUCUUUAGAAUAUCAUUGAUUUAUGUGAUCUACUCUGUAUGUACUAUUUUACAGUUAAGUCUAUAAGAUAAUAAUUACUCGAGCAAUCAACCGGAAUUAGGUCGCAUCAAAUGUAACAACACCAGAUACUACCUAAGACGUUUUGCUUAACAUUUAAAUCACAUUUUGAAUAUUACGCUGCUCACGUCUAAUCUGAUAGUUGACACAUUCCAAGUCAAAUAAAAGUUAUAAUAAUGAAUGUGCAUAAAUAUUCAUAAUUUUUCCACCGUGAAUCCACUUUCAGUAUUAUAUAGUAGUAACUAAACUCGUUUAAUAGAUAACUCGUGUCUCUAUUAAACAGGUCUUUCUAUUAUUCAUUUUUUUUUUUCUUAAUCACAUUUUCAAUCGAUUAGCUUUUUACUAAAAGUAGUUUUUAACAAUGUGCCAAAAGACGCUGUCGUACCCUAAAAUAAAAUUGAAUGAAAAUAAGAAAGAAGCUGAAACAGAUUAACUGUUAUCAACCAAUUAAUCUGUCACUCACUUUAGAAUUUCUUUAUUGUUUCUUAUUCAGUUUUUAACAUUGUCUCUAAAUUAAGGAAUUUUAAUUGUUUGUUUUUUUCAAAAAACAAAAUUAAAAAAAAUUGAAAUGUUAAAAAGAAAAAAAUAUCUCAAGAAAAACUUUUGAAUACUUUUGUAAUAGUUUUUUCUUAAGAUAAAAAAGAUAUAUAUUUCUCUAGGUCCCAGAGGGCAGAGGAACUCAAAACGAAUCUUGGUAUAUAUUUUUUUUUGUCGUACGAAUCUUGGUAUAUUUAUUGUAUGAAAUCAUUUUUUUUAAUAUUUUCUUGGUUAAAUAUUGAAACUCAUUUCUUGUUUCUCCUGGAAAAUUCCGUUGAUAGGACUGACAAGAGUCCUGAGAGAAGAGCGACCAUCGAGUAAGAUAGUGACAAUAACCAGCUUCUCCUUGAUUAAGGGCAAAUAUGUAAAGGGUAUAGAGAUCAACACAACACAGAGAAUUGCUUAUAAGUAUAUUCUUAUUGAUAACAAACUGUUUACAAAUGUUAUGUCGGAGAUUACUUGAUCUAUUCUACCCAAGAGAUCAAAACCGAGUAAGAAUAUCUAAGCCUAAUUCUCUUAUCUGUUUCUUAUCACUGUCACGUGAAGACUAAGAGAAUUACACACUCACCUUCAAGCUUUUGCAAUGCUCUGAAGAUUUCAAUCGUAUCGAAAUAUUCUAGAGUGCACGAAGCGCCUCACACUAAACCCUAGAGUACUUAUACUUACUCUCCAUAAUCUUAAACCUACGAUCUCCGAAAAUCUCGUUUUAAGGAAUCUUUUUUGUUUUCUUCAAGCUUAUUCCUUCCUAAAUCUUCGAGAUGAUAUCUUCCAUAUCUUCUUGAUAUUUCUUGUCUUUGACACCACGCCAAGUCAGCUUCCAUCUUUGGCUCUCCACAUCAUUCGCCUUAGCUUACCACGUUUGCUCUCGCAUCCAUGUCCGCAAAUCAAGCGUCUGAUGAAACUCGAUGCAGCUUCCUGAAAUUUAUCAAUGCUCUGAUCGCCAUCAGCUGAUUGAUUGACUCUGCAUCUUCAAUAUGAACCCUAUGAAUCCUCUGCUUUUGACGCUGCUGGUUACAAAUGGUAAAGAUCUUACACUCUUACACUUUUUUCAAAAACUUUUUCAUAAUUUUUGAGUUUAUUUUAAUUGGAAACAAAAAUUAGGAUAUUUAUGCUAUUUGUGAAUGGUAAUCAAAACGACCGAAUCUUUUCCAAGAGGUUGGGAAGUCAAUGUUGAUCUCAAACUCAUUUAUAACCCGAACCAGUCUAUUUAUAUAAAUGUAUUGGCUAAUGUAUUCACUUGAAAAAUACUUCGUUUCUCCACCUUGGAAGAUAAGUUUUGAUACUCUGACGAAUUUCUCGUUGGAGACCGAUACUGGUUGGCACUUCCUCAUCAAAUUAUAUCAAAACCUGUUGCUCAAAAUGUUUCCUAAAGGAGGAAAACAUAUUUCUGUUAAUAACAGUUUUUAGUUAAUCUAUAAUCAGGAGAUUAGGAUUUAACCCGAAAGGGUAUCAAGGAGGAAGACCACGUGCACUUUCAAUCUUUCUUUAUGUUCAAGCCUUCAAGGCUAUAAGGCAAACACAGUUGUUACAAACACUUGGGAGUGGUUAAUUUGCGUUUAAAGAAACAACGAAGCUCCAACCAAAUACUAUAUAGUAAAAAAACCAAGGAACAAUAUAAAGUAAAAUGUUAAUCUCCAAGAGACAAAAUAACUAGUUUGGUUUGUUCCUUUUUUUUAGGCGAAGCUUGGUGUGCGAUUGGAAACGGUACUGGUAUGGAUAGGGAACACUAUCAUAUUGUUAGAAGAUUUAAAAAAUUCAUCAAAAGGAUAUUUGGUGAAUGAUGCCAUUAUCUUUGAAGCUGAACUUGUUAAGGUCUUUGUGACCAACAUUGUUUCUGCUUAGAGAUCUCUAAUUCUUUGUCAGCAAUCAAACAACCUUAUGAAUAAAGUUUGUAAUAAGAAGAAGUUGAUAAAGUUUGUGUUGUAAUCUAUAUUUUGUUGGUUUUGUUUUCUGUUUAUUAUAGAUUACAUAGAUUAUGCUUUAACUAGUUUAACUGUUUAUGCUUUAAGGGCCCAAAAUCUAUUAGUUUCUCUUCAUCUAGGGUGAACAUCUUAGGAAAAAGUGUUGAACUGUGGUAGUAACAUCCUGAGCGUCUUUUGGACCAAGUCUAUUUAACCGAUUUAAAACUAGAAACACAGCUGACAAAAAUAAAAAGUAAAUUUAAGUAGAUUUUGACUUAAAAUUUGUCAUUUAAUGGACACUAAAAAAAACAAAAAUCAUAUAUGUGAAAGUUGACCAACUCUCUUCAUAUGGGUGACACAUCAUCACACAAGAAAAUGACAUGUGUCUUUUAACAUUGAUUAAAUUAAAAAUCAGUAAAAUUAAUUGAGAGAAAAUCAAAGUCUCAUAUUGUGUUAAAUCCUCCAUUAAUUUAUUUCUUAAAUGAUUUUUUUCAAAAUAAAAAAUAAAAUUAUAAAAUUAUUUAUUUAAAUAUAUCAAUUACUACUUUUAUUUUACUUUUAUUAUUUUCUAUUUUGUAAAAAUUUAAUGGUCAAUGGUCAUCACUCUAUAAUGACUAAAUAUUUAUUUGUGUUAUUUUACCUUGAUUUUUUAUUAUUAUUACAUUCUCGUUCAUAUCUUAUCAUAUGAAAUUUUGUCUUUUCAUUUUUGUAUCUUUAGGUAAGUUCGUAACAUUGACAUUCAACAUUUUCAAGUAAUAGACUUUUGAGACGUUAGACAUACUACGAAAUUAAAAACAAAUCAAUUUGUCUUAUAUGGCUAUAUGCAAUAGCAUAAAAUCUAAAAAGUGUUACUAAAAUAACUCUUUAAUUUUUGCUUCCUUUUUUUUUUCAUACGAAAACUCUUGAAAUCAAAAUAUCUUAUAUUCUUGUUGUAUGUUCAUGAUAAUGAACAAAUUUUAUAAUCUUGGAUAUAAAAAUAAUCAGAUUAUACAUGAAAAUAUAUAGAAAUUGAUAUUUAGAGUCAAAAAUGAAUCUAAAAUGUAAGUACAUAAGAUGAGUCUAAUUUUACUAAGUAUAAAAUAACAAACAAAAAAUAAACAUAAAUUAGCGACAAACAUAAUUAACAUAUUUUUAUCUAAACAAUUUUCAAAACAAACCCACGCGUACCGUGAGAAUUCAUCUAGUAUAUAGAUAAAAUUAUAUAGACCAAUCUACUCAAUUGAUACUAUCAAAAUCUCACAAAUAUAUUACUUGAAUAUAUAUUUUUAAUUUUUAUUAAAUUUCAAAUAAUAGACAAAAAAAAACUCAAAGCCAAUCACAUAUAGACACAUGUGAAAGUUAUCUCUCUAAAAAAUUCUUAAAAAUUCAAAACCAAAACCAACUAUCAUCUCUCCCAAUUAUCAUCUUUUUAAUAUAUCAAAAAUAUCUUUGAAAACUUUCCUUUACCCAUGUUUUAAACCUUUCUCAUCUAUAUAUAUACAUUUUUACAAAUAAAUCCUCAAGUUGAAACUUAUUUACAAGAAAUACCAUUUGGCAUUAAUUAUUAUUAAUAAAUUAAUAUUCCUAACUACUAGCAUUUUCUUAUCUGAUAUAUAUCUCCAUCAAUUCUUAAUACGUCAAAAAAAAUCUUAGGACACUAUUAAUAUUAUACUUUAUUAAAAGAUAAAUAAUGUAGUUAUUUAAAGUUUAUUAAAAAAAAUUAGAAUAUUUCACAGAAAAAACGUUAUAGUAUAUUUAUAAUAUGUAAAUCUAUAAAAAUUAAAUAACCAUUGAAAGAAAACUUUUAAAUUAAUUUAAAUUAUAAAUCUUUUAAUAAAAGUAUUAUUAAAACAAAAAUUAAAAAUAAUAUUUAAUUUUAUGAAAUGGGAUUAGAUGGUAGGACGGAUUUAGAAUAUCAUAAUAUAUGAACUUUAUAACAAUUAAAUAACCAUUUGAAAGAAAACUUUUAAAUUGUGUUGAAUUAUAUAUCUUUUAAAUUAAAAUAUUAUUUAAACAAAAAUAACAAAAAUAAUGUUUAAUUUCACUAAACGGAGUUAGAUGAUAUAAGGGGUUUGGGUCGAUAGUAUUAUGAGAUGGUAUACCACAAGUGAAAUACAUUAGAUAUGUUUAAUUUCACUAAACAGGAUUAGAUGGUAGGACAGAUUUGGAUCAAUAGUAAUACGAGACGGUAUACGACGGAUGAAAUCCUAGAUAUAUCAUUAAAAAUAAAAUUAUAUUAUCUAAAUACUAAAACAAACAAACAAUAUUAACAAAACAAAUAUAAUUAGAACUUAAAUAUUUAGUUAUAAUUUAGAUUUUAACUUAUUGUUCCUAUAUUUUUAAACAGUAAAAAUUAAACAUAGUAAUUAUACACUAAAAAAUAUAUAGAUAUAAGAGUUGUACGUUUAGAAAAUACAAAACAUUAAAUCAUAUUUAUUUUUAAUCUACAAAACAAAUUAAUUUUUAUUUUUAAAAAAUAUAAUUAUGCGGUACACCGCGGGUUAAAAUCUAGUAUAUAUUCAAAAGCCUUCAAAUUGAACACGAGCUUUGUUCUUGUAUCUAGGGCUGGAAAAAUAGUCUGACUCGAAGAUCCAAACUAAACCCGGCUCAAAAUAUUCGAUAUUAAUUCGAUUUCGUAUAUUAAAACUAUCUGAAUGGGAUCUAGAAACUUGAAAUUCUGAGUGUCCAAUAUAAUUCUGAUUCGAAUUUACCCAAAAAAAUCCUAACAUGUUCAAUCUUUAGUAUUUUAAAUUGUUUUGAUAGUUUUAUUACCGAUAUUUUUGGUUAAUUAUGAUACUUUUAAACAAAUUUUAAAUAUUUUUACCGGAUUUUUCGAGUAAUCGGAUAAAUAGUUUCAAUUAUUUAGGUAGUUUUAACCAAACUCAAAACAUGAUUAUAAAUCUAAAAUAUUAAAAUCUUUAAAAUAUCUAAAAUAACUAAAAUAUCUGAACUAUUUAGUUAUAUUUUAUCAAUCCACUACUGCGAUAAUAUCUCGUGUACUUCGAGAACUCUCACUAAUCCACAGAAAUAUUGUUUUAUAUAACAGUAGUCAUUAGUCAAUAGCUAGACAUGCAUGGUUUGGUACACGUACUUGGAAAAAGCAUAAAAUAAACAAUUAUAACCAAAUCGAAAUCUGAUAUACAUUCAAUUUUAAACAAAAAAAAAAAUGGAAAUCUGAUACUGUAAAAUUGAAUAUGUGUGUAUUAUUAUUGGUUCCACGACGAGUCUACUUUCAGUAUUUUAUUACCAAAGCAAACCAAAACGGAUCUCAAAAAAUGGAUACUGAAAAAUGGAGUCAAGGUAUUAAGUGAUCCUUUGUCCAAAAAAAAAAAAAAAAAAAAGGUAUUAAGUGAUCCACUUUUGUUCUUAGUGGUUCUGUCCCUGCCUUUUGCUCUUGUAUCUAGAGCUGAAAUAAAAUUCGGACCUGAACAUCCUAACCGAAUUCAGAUUAAUUUUUUUGAUUAGAAUUCUAAUCCGAAUUUUAAAAGUAUUCGAACGGAUUUUAGAACCGGAACUUCGAAUAUCCAAAAAGCCCGGAUUUAAAACAGAUUCCGAAUAUAUACUCGAAAAAAUCUGAAUAUUCCUAAGAUAUUAACUCUUUUUACCUGGUUUUAUGGAUACUAUUGAUUAAUUAAAAUACUUUUAAUAGUAUAACUUUUAACCGGGAUUUUCGAGUAAUUCGAAUUAUUUUACAUAGUUUAAAUAAUUAUACGUAGUUUUAACCGAAUCUUAACUAUAAUUAUAAAUCUAUAUCAAUUAUUUUUUAAUCAAAAUAAUUAAAAUACCAAUCAAUAUAACUAAAACACUUAAAAUAAACAAUUUUAAAAAACAAUUUUUAUUAUAUCUAUCAAAUUAUAUUAAAAAAUUCAAGCAAAUAAUUUUUUUAGAUUAUCCAAACUUCGAAUACAAAAAUCUGAAUAGAACCAGAAUUUGAUCUGAUAUAUUUUGAGUUAUGGUAGAAAUCUUAAUCAGAAAACUAAAAAAUCCUUACAAUACCUAAACGCUCAGACCUAUAAAUUUUGAUUUAUCUACAUUUCGGUGUUGGUGAUAUACUGACACCGAGUCGUUAACAGCAAUAAUAUUUUGUGUACUUUGAGAUCGCUCACAAAUCCACAGAAAUAUUGUUUUAUAAUAGACGUACUUGGAAGAUGCAUAAAAUAGACAAUACAACCAAAUCAAAUUUGAUACUUUACACAUUCAAAGUCAAACAAAAACAGUGAAAUUGAAUGUGUACAUGUAUUAUUAUUGCUUCCACGAGGAGUCCACGUUCGGUAUUUUAUAUUUGUUACUAAACUCGAUCAAUAAGUAAUCAAAAGUGUCUCUGUUUAUAUAAAUGGAAAGCGUUACCAAAACAAAACAAAACCAGAUCUCAAAAAAUGGACACUCAAAAAUGGAGUAUAGGUUUCAUAUCUCUCGCUUUUCUCUUCAUCACUUCCUCUUCCGCUGAGCUCCUCAUUAAACAGGUUUCUUUUUAAGCACUUUUUCUAUCGAUAUGUUUUUAUUUUUACUACAAAACUAGUUUGUAAAAAUGAAUAAAACUAAUAGUUUUGCUAAUAUUAGGCCACAGAAGGCAGAGGAAUAGAAUACAACAGUUCUCACAGUUCACGAAUGGUACGUACACUUAUUUUCUUUCUUUAGAUUUUAUUGGUUAAAACUUAAAACUGUGAUAACCAUUUUCUUGAACUCUUUUUAUUGAUAGGAGUGACAAGAGUGUGGAGGGAUGACCGACCAUCGGAUAAGAUUCUUUCGAUAACCAGCUUCUCAAUAAUUAGGACGAGACCUGAACCCUAUGAAUCCUCUGUUUUUGAGGCUGUUGGUUACAAAUGGUAAAGAUCUUAGUAUAUCUUACACUCUAUCCCAUUUUUUUUUUGUUAAUUAUAUCUUUUGAGCUAAUUAUGAUGCAAAUAAAUAAAUCAGGAGAUUGGUUUUGUACGUGAAUGGUAAUGAAAAGGACGGUGGAAAAGAUCAUGUUUCACUUUACGCGAAGAUCGUAGAGACAGAAUCUCUUCCAGUAGGAUGGGAAGUGAAUGUUGAUCUCAAACUCUUUGUCUACAAUGGAAAGCUAAACAAAUAUUUGAUUGUUACAGGUACUUUAAACUGUGAAUGGAUUUUUAUUAGAUCCAUAUAUAUAUUCUAGCGGAAAACGGUCUAUUUCUCCACGAUAAGUAUGACAUCAUAACAGAUAGAGCCCAGGCUUUAACCUCGUGCUAGAUAUGAUGUCAUAUUCUAGCUCUAUAUGUUAUGAUGUCAUAUUCUAGCCAUUGCUAUUUUAAGAAAGUAGACUUCAAAUACUAGUCUCAUUAGUAAAUGAACCGAUAGUUGAUUGUGAUUUGCCUUUUUUUUUUUUGCAUAAUUGUGGAUUGUAGAUGGUACAGUGAAACGAUACAACAAUGCGACAAAAGAGUUGGGUUACGGACAACUUAUUCCUCAAUCAACAUUCUACGACGGGAACGAUGGGUACCGUGAGCAGGACACUGGUACAUUUGGUGCUGAGAUCUACAUCGUUAAACCAGCCCAACAAAAAGAGAAAGUCACAUUCAUAUCAAACCCUCCAGACAAUGUUUUCACUUGGAAGAUACUUCAUUUCUCUACCUUGGAAGAUAAAGUCUAUCAGUCUAACGAGUUUCUUGUUGGAGACCGAUACUGGUUAGUCAUUUUCGUAACCGGAUAUUUUAGACCAAAGUCCAAAUUAAUCUUAAAAGCUUGUUACUGUUAUGUGACUUUCACAGUAUUAUUGUAUAAUCAGGAAAUUAGGAUUAAACCCGAAAGGAGGCUUAGUCCCAAUCUUCCUAUAUGCUCAAGGCUUUAAGGCAAACGCAGUUGUUACAACCACUUAUGCAGCGACUAAUCUGCGGUUAAAGAAUCAACGAAGCAGCAACCACGUAACAACAUAUAGUAAGAAAACUAACCUAAGAAUAAAAGUUUAUCUCCAGGAGAAAAAAACAACAAUGAAUGAAACUAGGAAUAGCUAAAGUAAAUUUGUUUAUGCUGCUCUGUUUUUUCUUUGCAGCUGCAUAUUGGUACCUGAUUCCAAGCGGAUUAGGUUUGGGAGUGAACACUAUACCGUUAUCAGAUGUAAAAGAUGCAUCGAAAGGAUAUGUGGUGAAUGAUUCCAUUAUCAUUGAAGUUGAAAUGCUUACGGUCUCGGUGACGAACAUUGUAUCCGCUUAAAGAUCUCUACUUCUUUACCAUAGUUCAAACAACCUUAUGAAGAAAGAGAUGUUUGUAAUAAGACAACGUUAAUGUUUGUGAUGUAGUCGUUACUUCGGUUUUUCCGAGUUUUCUCUUUUCUGUUUUGUUAUCAAUGAAAAUAAAACUCUCCGGGUUUUAAAUUUUAUAAAAAAUGUUGAGGACGUGAAGUGUUAAAAAUCGACUUAUCUGGAGUCAGAAAUAAACUUAUAAUUUACUUUACAUAAUUUGUUUUGUAGCCAAAUUCAAACAUAACCCAAAAGAAAAAAGUAUUGAAUGUUUUUUUUUGUAGCCACAUUCUAUUUAUGCGACCGUUGCCCGUUGGAGUAAGGGUCAUGCCCUGAUCUACAAUUUUCAAUGUACAACGUUUUGAACGCUUUAAUUUGACCACUAUAAUUCAUUACUCUCAUUAAGUUAACCAUAUUUAUCUCGAAAGUUCAUCAACCAAUAUAUGUUUCAUUCCACUUCUAACAUUUCUUAUUUCUACCACUUUUACCACCUCUAUUUUAAGCAUUUCGCAUUAGUACCGGUUGAUAUUAUAUAUGUAUCAAGUUUAACAAGAUUCUAACUCAAAAAUAAGUGGCAACAAACAAGUGAGGAAAUGCAUAUUUACUAUAUAUUUGUGUUGAAUUACCUUUACUUUUAAGAUUGGUUAUAUACCCAUUUGUGUUUAUUAGAUUUUAAAAUCAAUUACCAAAUAAGUUAUUAUGAGUUCAUUUGAAAAGUUAUGAGCUGCCAACUCAAGACUAUGUGAAUGGAUUGUCAUAUAAGUAUGUUAUGGGCUUGAUUGGUAUAACUAAUUAAUUAUAGUAGAGUUGUAGCAAUUACGAGCAAAGCAAGUAAGUUGAUGAAGUUGUAAUCUGUUAUAUAUUAGGUUGAUGAUAUAUAUAUAAAUAAGUUGUUGCUGAAAUUGACCAAGUUUUGAUCAGGUGGUCAUGAACGAUGGUGAAUGAAGAUGAAUGAUGGUCAAUGAGAGAUAAUUGAGUGAUGAUAGCUCAAACCUCUGGAUAUUGGAAUGCAAGGUUUAUCCGUCUACGUACGUGGAUAUGAACAUUGAUUUUGACUACUCGGUCAUGAUCCACAGUUAUCGAUUGGUAGAUUCGGCCUUCCGCGAUGAUCGGUAUGUCUAUGGUCAUUAAUUAGAGGUAAGGGUGGUGUGAUGUGAGUCCUUACUUCAUAGCUUCAUAUGAUUGGAUUGUUAAGCUUAACAAUCCAAUCAUAUUUAAUAUUUUGAACAUUAUGCUACCCACAUCGAAUCUGAUACUUGACACAUUCCAAGUCAAAUACAAAAAUAAUAAUAAGUGAAUGUGCAUAUAUAUAUAUUCUACCAUGAAUCCACUUUCAGUAUUAUAUAGUAGUAACUUAACUUGUUCAAUAAGUAACUUUGUCUAUAUAUAUGUAAAAGUCUUACCAAUGUCUAGCUCAUCUAAGAAAAUGGAUGAUCAGAAAUGGAGUCUGGUUUUCAUAUGUCUUGCUUUACUCUUCACCACUUCCUCUUCAGCUGAGUUUCUCAUUCAACAGGUACAGUUUUGUUUGUUUUUUUCCCUUUUUCGAAACACUUUUUUGAUUGAUUGGCUUAUUACUAAAAGUAGCUUUUUACAAAAUCCAGGUCACAGGGGGCAGAGGAGCAGAGUACAACAGUUCUUACAGUCUCAAGGAGAAUUUUGGUACACUUGUUGUUAUGAAAUCUUCUUUCUUUAGAUUUCUUGGUUUACAAAAAAAAAAAAAAAAAAAAAAAACUGAAACCCACUUCUUGGAACUUUUUGUGUUGACAGGAGGGACAAGAGUGUUGAGAGAUGAGCGACCAUCGAGUAAGAUUCUGACAAUAACAAACUUCUCUGUGAUUAAGGGCAGAGUAGAACCCUAUGAAUCCUCUGUUUUUGAGGCUGCUGGUUACAAAUGGUAAAGAUCUUACACUCUUUCCACUUUUUAUUCAAUUUUUUAUAUAUUUUUCUUGAGUUUUUUUUUUUUUUGAUGAAAAAUAAAUAAAUCAGGAGAUUGGUUUUGUACGUGAAUGGUAAUCCAAACGACAGUGGAAAUGAUCAUAUUUCACUUUACGUGAGGAUCGAAGAGACAGAAUAUCUUCCAAGAGGGUGGGAAGUGAAUGUUGAUCUCAAACUCUUUAUCCACAAUGGGAAGCUAAACAAAUAUUUGGCUAUUUCAGGUACUUAAAAUGGAUUUUUACUAGAGCCAUUUUAUUUUUGCCAAGACUAAUUUUUGCAAUUUCUGUAAAUAUUAGGAUCUCAUAUCGAAAGUUGAUUGUGAUUAGGAGUUUUUUUUUUUUUUGCAUAAUUGUGGAUUGUAGAUGGAACAUUGAAGUUAUACAACGAUGCGAAAAGAGAGUGGGGAUUCGGACAACUUAUUCCUCACGUAACAUUCUACAACACGUAUGGGUACAUUGAGCAGGACAUUGGUUCUUUUGGUGCUGAGAUCUUCAUCGUUAAACCGGCUCAACAACAAGAGAAAGUCACAUUCAUAUCAAACCCUCCAACCAAUGUUUUCACUUGGAAGAUACUUCAUUUCUCUAUCUUGGAAGACAAGUUCUAUUACUCUGACGAUUUUCUCGUUGAAGACCGAUACUGGUUAGUAAUUUUGGUAACCGGAUCUCUUUGACCGAAGUCCAAAUUAAUCUCAAAGUUUGCAACUGCUAUGUGAAUUCCACGGUGACCAAGUAUAAUAACGGUUUUUGGUUGAUGAUAAUCAGGAGACUAGGAUUUAACCCUAAAGGAGAUGGAGGAGGAAGACCAUAUGCACUUCCAAUCUUUCUAUUUGCUCAAGGCCAUAAGGCAAACGCAGUUGCUACAAACACUUGGGGAGCGGCUAAUCUGCGGCUAAAGAAUCAACGAAGCACCAACCACAGACAAAUAUAUAGUAAGAUAACUAACAAAAAAAAAAAUUUAUCUCGAGGGGAGAAAAUCAUCAAUAAAUGAAAGUAGCAGCUGAUGUAAAUUGGUUUAUGUUUGUUUUUUUCUUUGCAGCUGCAGCUUGGUACCCGAUUGGAAGCGGUUAUGGUGUGGGAGUGAACAAUAUCAUAUUGUUAGCAGAUUUAAACGAUGCAUCGCAAGGAUAUUUGGUGAAUAAUGCCAUUAUCUUUGAAGCUGCAAUGGUUAAGGUUUCAGUGACCAACAUCGUCUCUUCUUAAAUAUCUUCACUUCUUUGUCAACGAUCAAACAACCUUAUGAAUAAAAAGAUGUUUAAUUUGAUGAGUUUGUAAUAAGACAAUGUUAAUGUUUGUGAUGUUGUCGUUUCUCUUUUCUGUUUUGUUAUCAAUGAAAAUGAAACUCUCCAGGUA
Molecule: long non-coding RNA, 20836 nt
Filed under: Arabidopsis thaliana (thale cress)
Lineage: Eukaryota; Viridiplantae; Streptophyta; Magnoliopsida; Brassicales; Brassicaceae
Description: long non-coding RNA (ATHA_LNC000412)
Rfam family: Plant small nucleolar RNA R71 (bases 6125-6231)
Source: RNAcentral